GACCCACGCGUUCCCAUCUCGAACACGACCGUUAAGCCUUCCAGCGUCGAUGGUACUUGAACCGCAGGGUUCUGGGAGAGUAGAACGUUGCCA
RNAcentral lists this ribosomal RNA (93 nucleotides) under Paenibacillus allorhizoplanae. The record is from RNAcentral. Lineage: Bacteria; Bacillati; Bacillota; Bacilli; Caryophanales; Paenibacillaceae.